CAUGAACAGUAAUUUGGUAAUCUUAGUAUUAAUAGUUAUGAUCUUUAAAUUAAAAGAAUUUGGCGGUAAUCUAGUCUGUUCAGAGGAAUCUGCCCUGUAAUUGAUAUUCCACGAUGAAUUUUACUUUACCUAUGCUUGUAUAUCUCUGUCAUUGAAUGUCCUAUUAGGGUAUUUUCUUUAAUCUUUAAUGUGUGAGAUGUCAGGUCAAGGUGCAGCGAUGGUAAAGAAGAGGUGGAUUACAUUAAAUUUAUUUAUGGAUAGUGAAUAUGGAAAUUUUCUUGAAAUUGGAUUUGAAAGUAAUUUCUAUUAGAAUAUAGAUUUGAUUUUAGCUCUAGAUUAUGC
RNAcentral lists this ribosomal RNA (342 nucleotides) under Triatoma delpontei. Its description in RNAcentral is "partial 12S ribosomal RNA". Lineage: Eukaryota; Metazoa; Arthropoda; Insecta; Hemiptera; Reduviidae. The record is from RNAcentral.